RNAcentral lists this non-coding RNA (24 nucleotides) under Arabidopsis thaliana (thale cress). Lineage: Eukaryota; Viridiplantae; Streptophyta; Magnoliopsida; Brassicales; Brassicaceae. The record is from RNAcentral.
UCACUUGAGUAAUACUAGGACGGA